Sphingobium sp. MI1205 is the source of this 89-nucleotide non-coding RNA. Lineage: Bacteria; Pseudomonadati; Pseudomonadota; Alphaproteobacteria; Sphingomonadales; Sphingobiaceae. The record is from Rfam.
GGAGACGUGGGUGAGUGGCUGAAACCAACGGUUUGCUAAACCGUCGUACUGUGAAUACGGUACCGAGGGUUCGAAUCCCUCCGUCUCCG